This 2343-nucleotide unclassified non-coding RNA is filed under the name Hevea brasiliensis (rubber tree). Lineage: Eukaryota; Viridiplantae; Streptophyta; Magnoliopsida; Malpighiales; Euphorbiaceae. The record is from RNAcentral.
AAUUAAAUAAGACCAAAAAAAUAAAUUAAAAAAAAGGCAAUAAAAAAAAAUCAAAUAUUUAAUUUUCCCAUAUUUCGGCAUUUAAAAGCUAAAAAUAGACUAUAGAAACCAGCUUUCCACGAAAAGUGGUUGCCCCACACUGCUCCACACGACCAACAUUGUGAUGUGGAUAUGAGGCACUGCCACUAGUGGAAAGCUGAAAUAGACAUUGCAAAAAUAAAAGAUUAACUAUACGCAAUUUAUAGAACACAGAUCAUUGCAUUGAUGGAUCAAGUGUGGAAUACAUUGAGCCACAACCAUAACUACCAUUGCUUAAAGGACUAACAGGACUCCGCCUAUCCCAUGUUAAGUCCUUCGUGAGGCCUUUCCCCUCUCCAGGGUUAUCAUCCACCGCUGCCUUUGAAGUUCGCUUUCCCUUGAAUACUCCCCACAAAUAAAAUUUUGCCUGGAAUCCUGCAAACCAAUUUAAAGAAGGGGACAAUUAAAUCGAGGUCCUUUAAAGCUAUAGAGGUAAAAUAGCUCUUCAACAAAAAAAUAAUUGGCGUUACUCCAAAACUCCAUUGGCAGUAUUCUAGAAGUGAAAAUCAGUAGUUCUGCAUUUUGAACAUCCACUCUCAUGGCCAGUUCUUGGCUGAUCAUCUCAUUCACUAGACUAUCAAAAACCUUUUCAUUCCUAAUAUAACAGAAGAAAAAUCUUUAUAAGGAAUCAACUGAGAAAACAUGAUAAUGGAAGAGAAAUCUAAUCCAUAUUUGUCAAAACCACCACCUUUCACUGUCUGGAAAAAAAUAAAGAGCAAUACUGUCAUCAUUUGGCCCCGACUUCUCGAAACCCUUAGGCCAGACAGCAGCCCUAGGAAGUAAUUCAGGUGAAAGCAAUGUUGGCAAUGACUUUGCUUCCUCACUAGCUUUAGGGCAUGCUAUGCUAGAUACAUGAGCAACAAGUCCCACCACUGUACCAAAUUUUUUUUCCAGAAGGCUCAAGCUUCCCCUCCAAAUAGGAUCUUUUAUCGGCUGCGCAUGGACUACAAUGUUUGGGAUGUAAGAAACAACCAGCUGAGAGUUGUUAGUCCUGCAAGGUUCAGCCACUUCACAGGAGCUGCCUUCAUCCAAAUUGUUCAGUCUCCUAAGCUUCAGAUCUUUCUCUCCAUCCUUGAAGCAAUCCAUCUCAAGAGGAUGACUAUCACACCUAGCCAGUUGAGUGUUCUUGGUUUUUGGAGAAUCACCCUCUCCAUUGAAGCUGCUCUUACCUAAACCAUUCGGUCUUUCAGCCUCUCCACUGAAGCAGUCCUCCCCAAGACCAUUCCAUCUUUCAAUUUUUUGUUCUAUCUCCCCAGGCUCAGGAUAAUUCACUUCCAACGGUAUAGUCACUGAAGAGUUAUUGAUUUUAAGACAUUCAGCUUCUUCAUGGAAGCUGCUCUCAUUGAAAUCAUGUUUCCUUCCAUGCUUCUCAUCUUUCUUUCCAUCCUUACAGCAAUUCAUCUCAAGCAAUUGAAGGUCAACAACAUUCGGUCGACAGUUUUUCCUUUUAAGAGAUUCAACUGCUUCAUCCAAGCCACACUCAUCCAUUCCAUUUUGUCUCGCAAACUCCUGAUCUUUCUCACUAUUCUUUGAGCAAAGCACCUCAUUAAGAUGAAGAAAGGAGGUUUUCCUACGUUCCAAAACCCUUGACUUAGAGCAAGAUUUAACUUUUCUCUUAGAUUUCUUUUUCAAUUUAUUGACAUGAUUCCUUUUCUUCACUUUUACACUUUCAAAACUUUCAGUGUCGUUUUCGCUGACCUGGAAAGGGCUAAGUUUGUCAAGAAAGGAUGAUGUUGCAACCUUUGGUUCACAAUCCUCACAUAACCAUUCCGCAUAUUCAUCAAAAGUUGCUGGUAAUACAUCUAAGCAAUAACGAUGCACAGCAUAAGCCUGGCAUGCCCGACAAAAAAUCAAAAGCUCAGUCCAGCCUCUGUCACCACAUUUCUGACAAAUAGUCACCAUGGUGAAAAGAAAGAAAAGGGCCCAGCAUAAAUCCAACGAAUGUUCUCGAGAGAACCCAGAAAGCAAAACGACACCAAUUGAACUUAUUUAAGAGUUUCAAUUCAUCAAUGUUAGCGAAGAAAACCUCAUCAGCACCUCGCACUCAAUUAUGGCGUCCCAAUGUGAUCAGUUCACAGAAAUAUUAAAAAAAAAAAAAAAGUCAGAGAAAUCAGAGUUCUUUUGGAUGAGAAUCUCUGAACCUCCCCUUUUUUUUAUGGCAAGAAAUCUGUAAACCCAAUGGGAGAGAAUUUUUUUUUCCAAUUUAGGGUUUUUGAAUUACAACUUUUUGGGGGAUUUUACGUCUGUUGAUUUUCUUUUCUAAAU